GCCGGGUUGCUGGAACAGGCAGACAGGGCGAGCUCAAACCUCGCUGUCCGAGAGGGCGUGCGGGUUCGAGUCCCGCACCCGGCACCG
Molecule: transfer RNA, 87 nt
Filed under: Xylanimonas protaetiae
Lineage: Bacteria; Bacillati; Actinomycetota; Actinomycetes; Micrococcales; Promicromonosporaceae
Description: Xylanimicrobium sp. FW10M-9 tRNA-Leu
Rfam family: tRNA
About the family: Transfer RNA (tRNA) molecules are approximately 80 nucleotides in length. Their secondary structure includes four short double-helical elements and three loops (D, anti-codon, and T loops).
Source: RNAcentral